RNAcentral lists this long non-coding RNA (642 nucleotides) under Homo sapiens (human). RNAcentral describes it as "HSALNT0366560". Lineage: Eukaryota; Metazoa; Chordata; Mammalia; Primates; Hominidae. The record is from RNAcentral.
GCCUUUCUCCUCCCGAUUCUAAGGUCUCCCCAGCCAUGUGAAACUGUAAGUUCAAUUAAACCUCUUUUUCUUCCCAAUCUUGGAUAUGUCUUUAUCAGCAGCAUGAAAAUGGACUAAUACAGUAAACUGGUACCAACAGAGUGGGGUAUUGCUGAAAAGACGCCCGAAAAUGUGGAAGCAAAUUUGGAACUGGGUAACAGGCAGAGAUUAGAACAGUUUGAAGGGUUCAGAAGAAGAUAGAAAAAUGUGGGAAAGUUUGGAACUUCCUAGAGACUUGUUGAAUGACCUUGCCCAAAAUGCUGACAGCAAUAUGGACAAUAAAAUCCAGGCUGUGUGGUCUCAGAUGGAGAUGAGGAACUUGCUGGGAACUGGAGCAAAGGUAACUCUUGUUAUGUUUUAGCAAAGAGACUGGUGGCAUUUUGCCCCUGCCCUAGAGAUUUGUGGAAAUUUAAACUUGAGAGAGAUAAUUUAGGGUAUUUAGUGGAAGAAAUUUCUAAACAGCAAAGCAUUCAAGAGGUGACUUGGAUGCUAUUAAAGGCAUUCAGUUUUAUAAGGAAAGCAGAGCAUAAAAGUUUGGAAAAUUUGCAACCUGACUGUGCAAUAGAAAAGAAAAACCCAGCUGGGUGCGGUGACUCACACCUG